This 296-nucleotide ribosomal RNA is filed under the name Mycolicibacterium arcueilense. RNAcentral describes it as "partial 16S ribosomal RNA". It matches the Rfam family "Bacterial small subunit ribosomal RNA", at positions 372 to 680 of the family's 1533-position model. The record is from RNAcentral. Lineage: Bacteria; Bacillati; Actinomycetota; Actinomycetes; Mycobacteriales; Mycobacteriaceae.
UGGGUGCAAGCCUGAUGCAGCGACGCCGCGUGAGGGAUGACGGCCUUCGGGUUGUAAACCUCUUUCAAUAGGGACGAAGCGCAAGUGACGGUACCUAUAGAAAAAGGACCGGCCAACUACGUGCCAGCAGCCGCGGUAAUACGUAGGGUCCGAGCGUUGUCCGGAAUUACUGGGCGUAAAGAGCUCGUAAGUGGUUUGUCGCGUUGUUCGUGAAAACUCACAGCUUAACUGGGGGCGUGCGGGCGAUACGGGCAGACUAGAGUACUGCAGGGGAAACCCCAAUCCCUGGGGUAGCG